AUGGACUCUAGUCUCGUCUUCGGUCCCACAGUACAACCACAUGCAGUGGCUCCGGAACUGGAGAGGCUGGAUGCGACGCCUGAGGAAAACCUCCAGGAGGUCCAUGCCCGUCACUCCCUCCCGAACCAACUGCACCACGCGCUCCAUCAACAUCUUCACGUCGGCUUUCUCCUCCGGAAUCAGCUUCAGAGGGGAAGGCUUGCUCACUCGGUCCAUGGUGAACGGAGGGAGUCCACUCGACUGCCCUGGCGUCGACUGGACCUGGCAGUAGAACCAAGUCGACUGCCAGCCUCUGACGGACUCGGGAAAGGUCAUGGGCGGGAAGGUGCUCUUAUUCCUCACCUGAAUCCCCAGGCCCCCGCACAUUUGGACGACUCGGGUUCUCUCAUCACCUGGGCUCGCCUUCUUCACGGUCUGAGAUCGACACGUGAAUAUAUGUUUGAACAAACCCCAGUGCGGUCGACAGCCCAAGAAACCCUCACACAUGGACACGAACGCAGCAAGAUAGGCAAUGGAGUUUGGGAUAAAGUGGUGGAGCUGCGCUUCGAAGAAGUUCAAGAAGCCACGAAAGAAAACACUCGGCGGCAAGGAAAACCCACGAUCAACAUGAGUGGCCAAGAGCACACACUCACCCUCUUCUGGCUGGGGCUGCCACUCCUUCCCCGGAAGCCUCGCAGCUCCGUGGGGGAUCAAGCCCUCGUUGGCCAUGUCGAGGAGGUCAUUCUCCGUGAUGGUCGACUGGAUCCAGUCUCCUUGGACCCAGCCCUUCGGCAGGCGGGAUCUGGACGAGGAUCCUCCGCGGCUGGUGGAUCUCCCCUUCGCCUUCUCCGAUGCCGACGCCUUCUUUGCACGCUCCAGCGCCGCCAUCUUCUCCUUGGCCAUGGUCGCCGGCGAGAUGCGCGAAGGGAAGUGGUGCGGGGGCGAGAGCGAGCACGCUGA
Molecule: ribosomal RNA, 939 nt
Filed under: Triticum aestivum (bread wheat)
Lineage: Eukaryota; Viridiplantae; Streptophyta; Magnoliopsida; Poales; Poaceae
Description: partial small subunit ribosomal RNA
Source: RNAcentral